This 301-nucleotide ribosomal RNA is filed under the name uncultured bacterium. Its description in RNAcentral is "partial 16S ribosomal RNA". It matches the Rfam family "Bacterial small subunit ribosomal RNA", at positions 509 to 807 of the family's 1533-position model. The record is from RNAcentral.
CAGUCGCCGCGGUAAUACAGAGGGUGCAAGCGUUAAUCGGAAUUACUGGGCGUAAAGCGUUCGCAGACGGUUACAUAAGUCGGGUGUGAAAGCCCCGGGCUCAACCUGGGAAUUGCAUUCGAGACUGUGUAGCUAGGGUACGGAAGAGGGAAGCGGAAUUUCAGGUGUAGCGGUGAAAUGCGUAGAUAUCUGAAGGAACACCAGUGGCGAAAGCGGCUUCCUGGUCCAGUACCGACGUUCAGGCACGAAAGCGUGGGGAGCAAACAGGAUUAGAUACCCGCGUAGUCCCUGUCUCUUAUAC